GGGAGCUUGCUCCCUGAUGUUAGCGGCGGACGGGUGAGUAACACGUGGGUAACCUGCCUGUAAGACUGGGAUAACUCCGGGAAACCGGGGCUAAUACCGGAUGCUUGUUUGAACCGCAUGGUUCAAACAUAAAAGGUGGCUUCGGCUACCACUUACAGAUGGACCCGCGGCGCAUUAGCUAGUUGGUGAGGUAAUGGCUCACCAAGGCAACGAUGCGUAGCCGACCUGAGAGGGUGAUCGGCCACACUGGGACUGAGACACGGCCCAGACUCCUACGGGAGGCAGCAGUAGGGAAUCUUCCGCAAUGGACGAAAGUCUGACGGAGCAACGCCGCGUGAGUGAUGAAGGUUUUCGGAUCGUAAAGCUCUGUUGUUAGGGAAGAACAAGUACCGUUCGAAUAGGGCGGUACCUUGACGGUACCUAACCAG
RNAcentral lists this ribosomal RNA (428 nucleotides) under Bacillus subtilis. RNAcentral describes it as "bacterial SSU rRNA". It matches the Rfam family "Bacterial small subunit ribosomal RNA", at positions 74 to 486 of the family's 1533-position model. Lineage: Bacteria; Bacillati; Bacillota; Bacilli; Caryophanales; Bacillaceae. The record is from RNAcentral.